Mus musculus (house mouse) is the source of this 7381-nucleotide long non-coding RNA. RefSeq annotates it as predicted gene, 53284. The record is from RefSeq and is a predicted model, not a curated record. NCBI's taxonomy places the organism in Eukaryota, Metazoa, Chordata, Mammalia, Rodentia, Muridae. The transcript is spliced from 2 exons.
UUUUUUUUUUUUUUUUUUUUUUUUUGGUUUUUUGAGACAGGGUUACUCUGUGUAGCCCUGGCUGUCCUGGAACUCACUCUGUAGACCAGGCUGGCCUCUGCCUACCGAGUGCUGGGAUUAAAGGCAUGCGCCACCACGCCCGGCCAGCUAACACUUCUUAAUGGAAGUGGGUGCACUCUGGAGCCAGGCGGAUCUCUAUGAGUUCAAGGCCAGCCUGGUCUAUUUAGUGACUUCUAAGACAGCCAGACCUACAUAGUGAGACCCUGUCUGGAAAAAAAAAAAAAAAAAAAACUGGCAGCAGCAACAAGAAAAAAAAAAGAGGAAGAUGAUGAAUUUCUUCCUUACAAUGCUGCAAUAUUUUCUUGACACUAUAUUUUACCUCCAACAUUCCUUCCACUGCUCCUGGUUCUGUUUGGGUCUCCUAUUUUUGGAUUGAAGUGACCUUUCUGCCCACAGACUCUGUUUCUGCCAUCUUAAAAUGGGCAAUUAAAGUUUUUGGAACACUUUCUUUUUUUCUUUUUUUUUUUUUUCUUUAGUUUUUCGAGACAGGGUUUUUCUAUAUAGCCCUGGCUGUCCUGGAACUCACUUUGUAGAAAUCUGCCUGCCUCUGCCUCCCGAGUGCUGGGAUUAAAGGCAUGCGCCACCAUGCCCGGCUUCUGGAACACUUUCUGAUGUAUCUCUAUCCCAUCUCCAAUUGACUGAGGGCUAUACCUGUGUUCAGUUUCUGCCAUUUAUCCCAGAAAUUGCAGUCAGUCUGUCCUUGAGUCAAGCUCUUCUGUAGGUAACCUCUCAUACAAUUAUCUAAUUCUGGGUGCCUUGAAAAUACUUUGAACAUCAAUCCACAGAGAGAAGUAGGUUCUAACCGUGGUGUAAGCUACUCAAAUAAGCACCUAAGAGGCAGAGGCAGGUGGAUCUCUGAAAUCGAGUCCACCCUGGUCUACAGGGUGAGUUCCAGGACAGCCAGAGCAAUGUAGUGAGACACUGUCUAGAACAAACCAAGAAAAAAGUAGUUUCUUUCCUGUAAUCCAGUGUAUACACACACACACCCAUGAAAUUUAAUCUACCAUACUAAUACAAUGUAGCAUAGAGUGAAAAUGAUGGCAGUCAAAGGACAGCCUUGUGGAGUCUGUUCUCUCCUUCCAAGUGGCCAACCUUACAUAGCAAGUACCUUUACCUAAUGAAUGAUCUGGUUGGCCUAGAAUUUUUUAAAUGCUAAUUUCUAGUUUUUAACAUAUUUUCCUACACAGUAAUAAUUAUAUAAGACUGGUUUGCUACACAUAUCUAGCAUAAAAGUGUUCUAUACUUUUUCAUUAUAAAUGCUCUGUAGCAACAGUUCAGAUUGUGACAUUACCAAAGUUUUUGUUUAGCUUGUCUAAAAGCAUAUUACCAUAUUUAUUGUAUCAGUGCUGAAUAAAGUUUUUAUUUUAUUUGGCUCUUACUAUGUACCCUUGGAUGACCUGGAACUAGCUCUGUAGACCAGGCUGGCUUUGAAAGCACAGAGAUCUGCUUGCCUAUGCCUCCCCAGUGCUGGGAUUAAAGGCGAAUACCACUGGGUAUAACUGCACACAUCUUUGAUCCCGGUGCUCAAGAGGCAGAGGGGCAGAUCUCUUGUGAGUUUAAUGCCAGCUUGGUCUACAAAGUGAGUUCCAGAACGGGUACACAGAAAAACCCUGUAUCUAGGCAUGUGUCACUACACCUGGCUUCUAUUCCUUUUUCUUUUCUUUUUUUUUUUUAGAUUUAUUUGUUUGUUUGUAUGUUUAUUAUAUGUAAAUACACUGUAGCUGUCUUCAGACACUCCCAGAAGAGGGCAUCAGAUUUCGUUAUGGAUGGUUGUGAGCCACCAUGUGGUUGCUGGGAGUUGAACUCAGGACCUUCGGAAGAGCAGUCGGUGUUCUUAACCACUGAGCCAUCUCACCAGCUCCCUAUUCCUUUUUCUAAUAAGUCCUCUUUGAGUGCAAUUUAUAGUAUCUUGAAUAAUAUCGCUAACAUACACAUAUGAUUUUGUCAAAAGAACAUAUGCUUUAACCAGUGCUCCCAGUUCUUUGAGUUUACCAAAGCUGUAUUUUAUUACAUUUUAUUUAGGUGUGGGGACAGGGUAAUAGAAAUCAGAGUACGAUUGGCAGGAAUGGGUUCUUACAGUGUGGUCCUGGGGAUGGAAUUCAACCUCAGUCUUGAUGGCAAGUACUUUUACCCACAGAGCCAUCUAAAACAGCCCAAAGAGCUAUAAAAGUCUGUACAUUUUUGCCUUUAUCCAACUUGAUUGGUGAGAUAUACAGGAUUUUUUUUCUUUUACUGGCUUAACUUCUAUUUAUUUAUUUUGAAAUUCAUUUUCAAAACCAGCUCCUUCAUAUAUUUGUAAGUAUCAUUUUUCUGUUUUUGUUUUUUUGUUUUUUGUUUUUUUGUUUUUUAUAAGACAUCUGUAUAGUCCAUACUGGUUUCAAACCUCCAACUUCUGCCAGGAUUCUAGACAGGCACCACCAUAUAGCUUCUAUUUUAUACAUUAGUUAAUUUCCGAGUUGAUUAGUAUUUCUUGUGGCAGCCUUAUGCUUAUUUCAAUAAUCUUUUUACAAUUUCUCAAGAACCCAAUGUCACUCAUUUUCAUUGUUUUUUUUUUUCUGUGUGUGUGUGUGUGUGUGUGUGUGUGUGUGUGUGUAAGGAUUCAAGACCUCGUCCUGAGCUUUAAUACAAAUCUAGAUAUAGACUCUUUUACUUAAAAGUUAAAGGAAAGUUUUAAUCUUGGUAUUUGUUAUUUUUUUCUGUCUCUGAUUUUAUUUAUUUAUGUAUAUAUUUCUUUAAAACAUUUUAGAGCUAUCUGGGUUGGCUGUUUUGUGGCAGGAUGUUUCUAAGCUUGCCAGAACUCCAGGGUUAGAUUCCUGGCAUAACACAGAAGAAACUGUGUCGAAGGCACAGUAAGUACCUAGUUUAGUUUGGGUAUUAACUUCUGCUUUAUAUCAUCGAGAUUAAAAAUACACUGAGCUGGGUAGUGGCACAUGCCUUUAAUUCCAGCACUUGGGAGGCAGAAGCAGGUGGAUUUCUGAGUUGGAGCCAGCCUGGUCUACAGAGUGAGUUCCAGGCAGCCACGGGUACACAGAGAAACUGUCUUAAAAACCCAGAAACAAGCAAACCGCCCCCUCCCCCGCCCACACACACAUGCACACACAUUCUUUUGAGUUUACUGCAGGAGGUCUUGGGCCUUGAGGUUGAAACUACAGAGUGAGAAUAGGCUGCUUGAGUCUAACUCUUCCUCUGUUGCUUACUAUCAUGCACUCCAUGACCUUUACACAACGUACUUAAGCACUUGUUUUGUGUCUCAGUUUCUCUCAGGUUGUAAAAUGGGGUAAUACAUCAUUUAAAGCACGGGUGUGGGGGCAGGUGAGUUGGCUUACCUGCUAAAAGUGAUUGCAGUCAAGCCUGAGGACUGACCGAGGUUUUAUCCCCGAGACCCACAUGGGAGAAGAACAAAACCAGCGCCCCUACUUGUUCUCCAAUCUUCACACACUUGCUAUGGAACACAUGUGCCCAUAUACACAUAAAUAUAUUAAUCAUUUUAAAAUAGUGUUUGAAUCAAUUGGGUUAAUCAAUUGUGAAAUGUUUGGGACGGGGAGCAAGCUGUCCAUGGGAAGUGAUGUUAUUUUCUUUGUAGAUUUUACUGAACAGCCUGCGGGUCCUUGAAGGGAGGUAUAUUCUUUGACAUAUGAAGAUUUUGCUUAUUGCCAAUAAUGUUUAGAUGACUGCAGCUUUACUUACAUUUCCAUUUCACCUUUCACGACCUGCCAUUAUCUCUCAUCAUUUUUGCUUUUUGAAUAUUGGUGCCUUUCCUUUGUUGCAUGUUCAUAACCAUUGUGUUCAUCAGGAAACAGAGCUUCUGUCAUUCCAAGUGUGUCUCUGUGGCCUGCUUAAUGACUUUGACCUGAAUCCAACCUUGUUUGAUUAUGGCACCUGCUCUCUCUCUAUUUGCAUUUUCCCAGUUGCACUGCCACUCGUCUUCUCACUUUAAUGAUCACGAAUUACUUUGUUCUCAGUAAGAGCAAGCAGCCCAGCCUUGGAUUUUACUUUGUGAUCCAAUCCAUCAGUCUCGUUGCUUUAAUGGAUGACAUAAGCCCAUAUACAGGUUUGGACAAGAGGCUGUCAUCUGUGAGAGAACACAGUACGAACUUGAUGCCCUGUCAAGACAAUCAGAAACAAUUAUCCCUCCUAACAGAAUUGAAUGUGCUUCUCUUUAACAAGCCUUCAUGUUUCUGUCUCAAUCCUGUAGAUUAAAAACUUUUAACAGUAAUCUAAAAUUCUGCUGUUGGGGACAGACCGUCUUCUCUCAAGGAAAAUGUCAGAGACUACUAAGUAGUAAACUCACAAUGUCUCACUGGGAAGUCCAUGACUGUGAAUGAGUGUCUUUCAGGAAGCUGGAACUGAACAGUGUGUCACUGAAGAUGUCAACAGCUCCCAGGAGUUGAUCUGCAUCCCACUCUUUUGCUUCCAAGUAUUUAAAGCAAAAUAAGUUUCAUAAGAAUGAUUCACAGAACUAUAGCAGGUUUAGUCAUAUCUGAUCCACCUAGUACCUUUGGCAAAGAGAACCAGGUGCUACUGAAAAAGAGGGAACACCAGAACAAGACAAGAAGCUCUGGCAUAAGGAAAUGGUGCAGUUUUGUUUCCUGCAGUUCUGUUAGACCAGUACUGUGUUUUGUGCUUUGGCCCAAUCAUAUCUGAUCCUAAUGUAAAAGAUGGCACACUGGCCAUCUUCUCGGGAAGACUUGUCCCAGGACUCAGAGAUACAGAGCUGAGGAACACCUUGGGACUGGCUAGAGAUGAAGGCUGUGUUCAGCCUCUGGUCCUGUUGCUUCAGCUGUUUUACUCUGUACAGGUUUCCCUCUCCUUUCUGUGCAGAACUCCCAUCUGCCAUCUGCAGCAGGAGGCUGGGAAGGAAGAAGAAUUAAUGGUGUUUCUAAAAAUUCCUCCACCUCCUCCUCUGUGCAGUCCCUGCUCUAUGAGGAUGGGUCUGUAUGUUCUAGCUUGUGUACCUCAGACCUACAGAAGAAAAUUACAGAGCAUACAAACAAGCAGGUAAUCUGAUACACAAAAAGAUGUAUGUCUGUUUUCUGAAAGUAGGAUGGAAGCCUGACAAUACUUUGUUGUAGAAAAAAGAAGUUUAUGUGAUGACAGCUCAGAGACACGAGGCUGAGAUAUGAUGGAGAGGCUAGCCAUUAGGAGGUCUCUUCAAAGGACCUGCUUUAUACUUGUAUCAAUAAAUCCCUACGAUGUGUUCAUGUGUGCGCAAUAUAAACAGGUACGUAUGCUGAGCAGUGGUGCACACAUCUUUGAUACGAGCACUCGGGAGGCAGAGGCAGGCGGAUCUCCGAGUUCAAGGCCAGCCUAGUCUACAGAGUGAGUUCCAUGACAGCCAAGGCUACACAGAGAAACCCUGUCUCAGAAAAAAUAUACAUAUAUAUAUAUUUCAUGAAAACUUUCCCAGUCCUAUGUUCAAAAUUGCUGUUCAUUCAGAAGAUAGUAAGAACCCUGCCCUGGCUUUGUUUCCUAAAAUACAAGGGAGACCUAACUCUGAGACUUACACACCUUCAGAGAUGCCAAGUUUUUCCUUUCACUCACCUUUUUAAAACCAUAUACUCAGCUUGUCUCAACGUAACAAGCUACUCACAGAGAGUGGUCUCAUAAGCUAACUAACUACUACUGACUGCUGUUUGGUAGAGGGCCUCAUGGCCAUCCUCAGAAUCACACAGCUCAGAAAGACGUCUCCCAGGAGUCAGAGAUGUAGUCAUGGAUGGGCUAAUGUACAAAAUGAUGGAAUAUGAUCAAAUGAUGGCAAUUCUCUAGUAUAAAGGUACUUGUUACUGCAGGUAGGAGAAAAUGUCCUGCCGGGCAUGGUGGCACACGCCUUUAAUCCCAGCACUCAGGAGGCAGAGGCAGGUGGAUUUCUGAGUUCGAGGCCAGCCUGGUCUACAAAGUGAGUUCCAGGACAGGCAGGGCUUAUACAGAGAAACCCUGUCUCAGAAAAAAAAAAAAAAGAAGAAGAAAAAAGAUAUGUCCUGAAAUGCUAACAGAGAAAGAAAAACAAAACUAGUAUCUAUUCCUAAAGCCAGUAAAUUACAGAAUAGUGUUCAGAAUGAUUAUGGAAGAAAGGCACCAGUAGAUUACAUUGGGUGUCAGCAGGCCAGGGAGAUUCCUGUUGCCUGAUGCCUAAGUCCACACAUACCACCCACUCAUCCUAAUGCUCUAAGAGCAAGGAAAGAAAUGUCAAUCAAGCAGGGUCCUGGAUUGCAUAUUCAAGUGCAAGAAAACAGUUCCAAUUUGACGUGAGAGGAAGCUGGUCCUGGCCUAGGGUUUGGCUGCUUAGAUGGGCACUCUAUUCUCCUUGGCCCACUUCUUCAUGAUCCUGAUGAUAUACUCCACUUGGGUGUUUCCUGUGCUUCUCAGUAAAUGCAGCACUUCUCGGAGGGUCUCUCUGAGGAAAGGUUUUAGAGAACACAUUUUUUUUAAUAAAGAAAAACUAGCGAUCUCACGACAUAGUACUAUAUUGCAAUGAGGUGUCUGUGCUCAUGGACCCUCCACUGGGCAUUUCAAAGCUGCUACUUUUCUAAGCCAUGACAAUGGGUUGCUUCUUCCACAUAUUUGCUCAAAAAGGGUUCAAAUAUAAUAUAAAUGAGAAUAGCAGUAAGGACCAGAAUUUGGUGAAUGCCCAGCAUUUGCACUUUAACUAAUACAUGUUUUAACUUAAAAACUCGUUUUAUGUAUGCAUGCAUGCAUCCUUAUGUAUGUGUGUAUCUAUGCAUAUAUAUAUAUAAUCUGUGUGUAUAUAUGUGCAUGUAUGUAUGAGUAUAUUUGCACUAUGCAAGUGCCCGAGAAGGACAGAAGAGGGUGUCAGAUGCCUUGGAGCUGAACUUACAGGUGUCUGUGAGCACCUGACAUAUGUGCUGGGAUUCACACUGUGAUCCUCAUGACUGAACAGCAAAUGCUCUUAACCACAAGCCUCCUCCAGCCCCAAGUUAAGAUUUAUUAUAAUUAAAGCUUGGAGUUUAGGUGAGGCAGGCUGAAGCUUCUCUGGUGUCUCAUCAGAGAUUUGGCAACUGUCUGUGGAUUUGCUCCCCAUGUGGUCUUGUCUUUUUUGUUUGUUUGUUCGUUUUUUCAUUUUUUAUUAGGUAUUUUCUUAUUUUACAUUUCAAAUGCUAUCCCAAAAGUCCCCCAAACCCUCCCCACCCCCUCCCACUUCUUGGCCCGAGGAACCUCCUGCAUCUGACUAAAUGCUUGUAUUCAGGAUUAUACAUAAACACAAGGCAGGAAGUAAAUUUUGAUAAUUUGCUUGCAAAAUUUUUACAGUUUUCUAUCCAUAUGCAUUAAGCAAUAAAUAUACUGCAUGGAACUUUUUUUAAAA